UCGAACUCAGGACCUUGCGCUUGCGAGGCAGACGGCGGCACCACUAAACUAAAUCCCCCGCCCCCCGUUUCUGUUUUGAAACAGUGUCCAAGUUGCCACUGUCCAGGCUGGGCUCGAACUGGCAGUCCUCUAGCCCCAGCCUCCCAGAGCGCCAAGCUGGUUCUGCGUGUUCGGGGGCGGGCGAAGGAGCAGGCCCUCCUGCCUACGCCCUGUAGACCUCGGAGCAGGAGCCGGAGCGGAGCCGGGCCUCCCAGAAUUCGAAGAUCACAAGGAAGCAGCAUCAAGCCCGUCUGGAACCCCAGCACUCAGGAGGCUGAGGCAGGAGGAUCCCAAAUUGAAGCCCAGCCUGGGCAAUUCAGCGACUUAAUGAGACCUUGUUUCAAAUUUGAAAAAAAAAAGCGCUGGAGAUGUAGCUCAGUGCAAAGGCCCUGGGUUCAGUUUCCAGGAACAAAACAAAAACCCAAAAGCAAACCCUAAAUUUUUACAGACCCAGACACAAAAAGCCUGUAAAUUGGGCCCGGGCUUUGUAGGAAGGGAUGAAUGUUGUCUGUAAAUUGAACCCCACAGACUCCACCCCAGCAACCCAGUUUUAGGUCACAAGGUCUCCCCCCCCCCUUCUCCAGGGCCCCCUCUCUUCUCUCUGAAUGUGUACUUUAAAUUCUGCCUAAUACAACUCUUUAUGCCUCUCA
Molecule: non-coding RNA, 689 nt
Organism: Heterocephalus glaber (naked mole-rat)
Lineage: Eukaryota; Metazoa; Chordata; Mammalia; Rodentia; Bathyergidae
Source: RefSeq, a predicted model, not a curated record